UUACUGUUUGUCUAUAGAGUAAUAAUUAAUUACCGUUUGUCAACCGAAUAAUUACUAUUGUCUAUCGAAGAGUUAGUUAUCAUUUUGUCAACCGAAGAAUUUUAUAUCCGUCAGCCUGUCAGUCAAUUGUUAGCCGAGAGUGGAACUUAUUGCCAUUAAACGUCAGUUAACGCUACCGAACGCGGCAACUAAAUAGAAGACAGAUAAAACUUUAAUCAAUAAAUAACAUACAAUAACUAUUGGGUUAUAACAUAA
This 255-nucleotide unclassified non-coding RNA is filed under the name Bombus terrestris (buff-tailed bumblebee). Its description in RNAcentral is "misc RNA ENSBTSG00005024125.1". Lineage: Eukaryota; Metazoa; Arthropoda; Insecta; Hymenoptera; Apidae. The record is from RNAcentral.